This is a small nucleolar RNA of Lineus longissimus, 138 nucleotides long. RefSeq annotates it as small nucleolar RNA SNORA79. The record is from RefSeq and is a predicted model, not a curated record. The transcript has a single exon. NCBI's taxonomy places the organism in Eukaryota, Metazoa, Nemertea, Pilidiophora, Heteronemertea, Lineidae.
UGAUGGCGUUCCUCACAUGGUCCAAGACAUGGCCACUGUGAUUUUAGUCCAUCAUAGAUUGAAGUGAGUUCUUCACCCAGUAAGUUCCCUGUCAGGUGAUAGGGCGUGACUUAGCUGGUUUUGCGGAUUCAAACAUUC